This 521-nucleotide ribosomal RNA is filed under the name Megophrys sp. ENS_21030. RNAcentral's name for it is "partial large subunit ribosomal RNA". It matches the Rfam family "Bacterial large subunit ribosomal RNA", at positions 1940 to 2624 of the family's 2925-position model. The record is from RNAcentral. Lineage: Eukaryota; Metazoa; Chordata; Amphibia; Anura; Megophryidae.
UUCUGACCGUUGCAAAGGUAGCGUAAUCACUUGUCUUUUAAAUAAAGACUUGUAUGAACGGCCUGACGAGGACUUAACUGUCUCCUGUUUCUAAUCAGUGAAACUGAUCUCCUCGUGAAGAAGCGGGGAUAAACCCAUAAGACGAGAAGACCCUAUGGAGCUUUAAACUAAAAUCAACUACUCACCUUAACCUCCCCUCGGAACUAGAAUAUAACCACGUAAGAUUGAUAUAAGUUUUAGGUUGGGGCGACCACGGAGAAAAAAAAAUCCUCCUUGAUGAUUUAUUAACUAAGGGCCACAGCCCCAAGUAUUAAGUCCCUUAACUCCAAUUGACCCACUUUGUGAUCAACGAACCAAGUUACCCUAGGGAUAACAGCGCUAUCCAUUUUAAGAGUUCCUAUCGACAAAUGGGUUUACGACCUCGAUGUUGGAUCAGGGCAUCCAAGUGGUGCAGCCGCUACUAAUGGUUCGUUUGUUCAACGAUUAAAGCCUUACGUGAUCUGAGUUCAGAACCGGAGAGA